This 465-nucleotide ribosomal RNA is filed under the name uncultured Klebsiella sp. Its description in RNAcentral is "bacterial SSU rRNA". It matches the Rfam family "Bacterial small subunit ribosomal RNA", at positions 338 to 795 of the family's 1533-position model. The record is from RNAcentral. Lineage: Bacteria; Pseudomonadati; Pseudomonadota; Gammaproteobacteria; Enterobacterales; Enterobacteriaceae.
CCUACGGGCGGCAGCAGUGGGGAAUAUUGCACAAUGGGCGCGAGCCUGAUGCAGCCAUGCCGCGUGUGUGAAGAAGGCCUUCGGGUUGUAAAGCACUUUCAGCGGGGAGGAAGGCGGUGAGGUUAAUAACCUCAUCGAUUGACGUUACCCGCAGAAGAAGCACCGGCUAACUCCGUGCCAGCAGCCGCGGUAAUACGGAGGGUGCAAGCGUUAAUCGGAAUUACUGGGCGUAAAGCGCACGCAGGCGGUCUGUCAAGUCGGAUGUGAAAUCCCCGGGCUCAACCUGGGAACUGCAUUCGAAACUGGCAGGCUAGAGUCUUGUAGAGGGGGGUAGAAUUCCAGGUGUAGCGGUGAAAUGCGUAGAGAUCUGGAGGAAUACCGGUGGCGAAGGCGGCCCCCUGGACAAAGACUGACGCUCAGGUGCGAAAGCGUGGGGAGCAAACAGGAUUAGAUACCCGGGUAGUC